GCGAGUGGAUUGCGGUUUUAAGGGUCACGAGAGGAACGCAUCAAUUUUCAUUGGAUUUCCUCUCCAAAUGGCUCGAAAGCAGUUUGAGGGAAACCUCACGUGGGUUCGAAUCCCACCCGCUGCGCCA
Molecule: transfer RNA, 127 nt
Filed under: Bacillota bacterium
Lineage: Bacteria; Bacillati; Bacillota
Also listed under: 4 other names
Description: tRNA-OTHER
Source: RNAcentral